Molecule: ribosomal RNA, 702 nt
Filed under: Varicosporium delicatum
Lineage: Eukaryota; Fungi; Ascomycota; Leotiomycetes; Helotiales; Discinellaceae
Description: eukaryotic LSU rRNA
Rfam family: Eukaryotic large subunit ribosomal RNA
Source: RNAcentral
GGGAUUACCUCAGUAACGGCGAGUGAAGCGGUAAAGCUCGUAUUUGAAAUCUGGCUCUUUCAGGGUCCGAGUUGUAAUUUGUAGAAGAUGCUUCGAGUGUGGUCCCGGUCUAAGUUCCUUGGAACAGGACGUCAUAGAGGGUGAGAAUCCCGUAUGUGACUGGGUGCCUUCGCUCAUGUGAAGCUCUUUCGACGAGUCGAGUUGUUUGGGAAUGCAGCUCAAAAUGGGUGGUAAAUUUCAUCUAAAGCUAAAUAUUGGCCAGAGACCGAUAGCGCACAAGUAGAGUGAUCGAAAGAUGAAAAGCACUUUGGAAAGAGAGUUAAACAGUACGUGAAAUUGUUGAAAGGGAAGCGCUUGCAACCAGACUUGCCCGCCGUCGAUCAUCCGGGGUUCUCUCCGGUGCACUCGGCGGCGUUCAGGCCAGCAUCGGUUUCGAGGGUGGGAUAAAGGCCUUGGGAAUGUAGCUUCUUUCGGGGAGUGUUAUAGCCCUCGGUGCAAUGCCGCCUCUCGGGACCGAGGACCGCGCUUCGGCUAGGAUGCUGGCGUAAUGGUUGUAAGCGACCCGUCUUGAAACACGGACCAAGGAGUCUAACAUCUAUGCGAGUGUUUGGGUGUCAAACCCAUACGCGUAAUGAAAGUGAACGGAGGUGAUAACCCUUAAGGGUGCAUCAUCGACCGAUCCUGAUGUCUUCGGAUGGAUUU